This 196-nucleotide ribosomal RNA is filed under the name Aurantiochytrium limacinum. RNAcentral describes it as "partial Bacterial large subunit ribosomal RNA". It matches the Rfam family "Bacterial large subunit ribosomal RNA", at positions 894 to 1087 of the family's 2925-position model. The record is from RNAcentral. Lineage: Eukaryota; Bigyra; Thraustochytrida; Thraustochytriidae.
CUCCGGGGGUAGAGCACUGUUUCGGCUAGGGGGCCAUCCCGGCUUACCAACCCGAUGCAAACUGCGAAUACCGAAGAAUGUUAUCACGGGAGACACACGGCGGGUGCUAACGUCCGUCGUGAAAAGGGAAACAACCCAGACCGUCAGCUAAGGUCCCAAAGUUAUGGUUAAGUGGGAAACGAUGUGGGAAGGCUUA